Molecule: ribosomal RNA, 327 nt
Filed under: uncultured Sphingomonas sp.
Lineage: Bacteria; Pseudomonadati; Pseudomonadota; Alphaproteobacteria; Sphingomonadales; Sphingomonadaceae
Description: bacterial SSU rRNA
Rfam family: Bacterial small subunit ribosomal RNA
Source: RNAcentral
GGCGCACGGGUGCGUAACGCGUGGGAAUCUACCCCUUGGUUCGGAAUAACAGUUGGAAACGACUGCUAAUACCGGAUGAUGACGUAAGUCCAAAGAUUUAUCGCCGAGGGAUGAGCCCGCGUAGGAUUAGGUAGUUGGUGUGGUAAAGGCGCACCAAGCCGACGAUCCUUAGCUGGUCUGAGAGGAUGAUCAGCCACACUGGGACUGAGACACGGCCCAGACUCCUACGGGAGGCAGCAGUGGGGAAUAUUGGACAAUGGGCGCAAGCCUGAUCCAGCAAUGCCGCGUGAGUGAUGAAGGCCUUAGGGUUGUAAAGCUCUUUUACCC